RNAcentral lists this transfer RNA (74 nucleotides) under Tamaricihabitans halophyticus. It matches the Rfam family "tRNA". Rfam says of the family: Transfer RNA (tRNA) molecules are approximately 80 nucleotides in length. Their secondary structure includes four short double-helical elements and three loops (D, anti-codon, and T loops). RNAcentral also lists the same sequence under 3 other names. Lineage: Bacteria; Bacillati; Actinomycetota; Actinomycetes; Pseudonocardiales; Pseudonocardiaceae. The record is from Rfam by way of RNAcentral.
GCCGCCUUAGCUCAGUCGGUCAGAGCGACGCACUCGUAAUGCGUAGGUCGGGGGUUCGACUCCCCCAGGCGGCU